Molecule: ribosomal RNA, 253 nt
Filed under: uncultured bacterium
Lineage: Bacteria
Description: partial 16S ribosomal RNA
Rfam family: Bacterial small subunit ribosomal RNA
Source: RNAcentral
UACGUAGGGGGCAAGCGCUGUCCGGAUUCACUGGGUGUAAAGGGUGUGUAGGCGGGCUGGUGUGUCGAUGGUGAAAGCCCUCCGCUCAACGGAGGAACUGCUGUCGAAACUACCAGCCUAGAGGACGGGAGAGGGAGCUGGAACUUCCGGUGUAGCGGUAAAAUGCGUGGAUAUCGGAAGGAACGCCAAUGGCGAAGGCAGGCUCCCGGAACGCUCCUGACGCUGAAACACGAAAGCUAGGGGAGCAAACAGG